Chlorocebus sabaeus (green monkey) is the source of this 4046-nucleotide non-coding RNA. The record is from RefSeq and is a predicted model, not a curated record. NCBI's taxonomy places the organism in Eukaryota, Metazoa, Chordata, Mammalia, Primates, Cercopithecidae.
CGGGACCCGUAGGGAGAGGCGGGUAGCGGGCGACGGCGGCGGCGGUUGUGGGGAGGCUGCGCGGCCGGGCGCAUGGGACCUGUCCUGCAGCGGCUCUCUCAGGCUGUGGGUCGUCGCUGCAGCUGCCGGGAAAGAAGGAAACGACGACUCCGGGGGCGAACUUGGCACACAGGGAGGAAGGGAAAGGAUGCAUGGCCAUGGGGGCUACGAUUCUGAUUUUAGUGAUGAUGAACACUGUGGAGAAUCCAGCAAAAGGAAAACAAGGACAGUUGAAGAUGACUUACUGCUCCAAAAACCAUUUCAGAAAGAAAAGCAUGGAAAGGUGGCCCAUAAACAAGUUGCAGCGGAAUUGCUGGAUAGGGAAGAAGCAAGAAAUAGAAGGUUUCAUCUCAUAGCUAUGGAUGCUUAUCAAAGACAUACAAAGUUUGUAAAUGACUACAUUUUAUAUUAUGGUGGCAAAAAAGAAGAUUUCAAGCGUUUGGGGGAAAAUGACAAGACAGACUUGGAUGUUAUACGAGAAAAUCAUAGAUUCCUAUGGAAUGAGGAGGACGAAAUGGACAUGACUUGGGAGAAGAGACUUGCUAAGAAAUACUAUGAUAAAUUAUUUAAGGAAUACUGCAUAGCAGAUCUCAGUAAAUAUAAAGAAAAUAAGUUUGGAUUUAGGUGGCGAGUAGAAAAAGAAGUAAUUUCAGGAAAAGGUCAGUUUUUUUGUGGAAAUAAAUAUUGUGAUAAAAAAGAAGGCUUAAAGAGUUGGGAAGUUAAUUUUGGUUAUGUUGAGCAUGGUGAAAAGAGAAAUGCACUUGUUAAAUUAAGGUUAUGCCAAGAAUGUUCCAUUAAAUUAAAUUUUCAUCACAGGAGAAAAGAAAUCAAGUCAAAAAAAAGAAAAGAUAAAACCAAAAAAGAUUGUGGAGAGUCAUCACGUAAAAAAUCCAGAUUAUCCUCUGCGGAAGAGGCCUCCAAGAAAAAAGAUAAAGGACAUUCAUCUUCAAAGAAGUCAGAAGAUUCUCUAAAGAGAAACUCUGAUGAGGAAGAAAGUGCUUCAGAAUCUGAACUUUGGAAGGGUCCACUACCAGAGACAGAUGAAAAAUCACAGGAAGAAGAAUUUGAUGAGUAUUUUCAGGAUUUGUUUCUAUAAGACGAGAGAGACUUAAUGUGAAACUUCAUGAAGUUUUAAACUUCAUGCAAUUUGAAAUUCCAUUGGGCCUGUGUAACUUUUGCAACUAUUAAUGAAUAUUGAAGACAUAUAUAAGUAAGUAAUAUUCCAUUUGUUUUUGAGCAUUGUGUUAAAGACAUUAUGUGGAGACAGGUGCACCAGAUGAGAAAGGAGACCUACUUCCCAGCCCCUGGCCAUGGGCCCUCACUUGCUCAGCUGCUUUCAUUUGCUCACGGAAAGAGUCUAUUUUAUUUUCCCUGACUAUUAAAAUGGCAAUAGAAAUAUGAAUUCUGCAUAGCACACCCCAAACAGGUAGAAAUGGCUUUAAUUCAUUCAGAUUGUGGCUCUCGAGUUAGCUGAGGCCAGGGAAAGUACAGGCCGUUCUAAUCUUCAGUGUGGUGCCUAUGACGCCCACAAGAGAGUAUUGCCAACGUGUUCCUGCUUUGCUAGUGGCAGUACACAAGGUAUUUGAUUUCUCCUUCACAUUUCUAUGUGUAAAAUGGGGCAGGCUGAUGGGGUUGGUAUGAAAAAGCAUAAAUAAAAUUAUCAUACACUUUGGAAAGAGAUGUUCUGAAUAAUAACAGGAUUUUGUUAUUUAUGCUGAGCAAUAUAUUUUGUCAUUUCUAUAGUAUAUUCUAGUAUUAAAAUUUAUACUCAUGCAAAUUCGGCUAACAAAGUUUCCACCCAUUCAUUCAGGUUAAAGCAUUGAUUUCUGUCUGGUUUAGAGUAUAGGCAGUUCUGUUCCUCAAAGCAGUGGAUCCAUCACUGCUGGGAUAGAAGGACAUUGCAGUUCAAAGCCUUAUAAUAUGCAAAACAAAAUGUCUGAGUAGUGCCCACAAAUGCUGAAAUUACUGAAUAAAUCCCAAGGAUUUCCCUUAUUUAAAAAAAUUAAAAUUUUUAGUGUGUAUAUUUUCUUUAGACAAUGAAAAAAAUAGAAGAAUUACAUUGUCUCCCCAAAAUGUAAAAAGAAUAUCUGAUAGGUAACAGUCUUUUUGUGUGUGUGUCCAAGUUGACUGCUCAUAAACAGGCUGUGUGUGACUGCAUUGCCUAGCGACUCUAUUGACAAGGCUUUAAAAGUCUGCAAUUAGCAGAUUGAAUGGUAUUACAGAGAGGUCCUUGAAAAGAUGGUAUAGAUUACUGAGAUGCAAUAUUCCUCUUUAGAAAGAAUAAUAAGUCUUUAUAUAGCCAUCAAAGCCAGUUCAGACUGCAAAGUAAAUAACAUUAAAAAACUUCAGAUGGAAAACUGUAACUCUACUCUAAACUUCAAAAUCCCAGAAGGAAAAACAUUUAAGAUUAGGAGCCUUCCAGUGUUAAGCAUUUAGAUAUUUGGCUGCUGUUUUAAAACUGUAUUUUGUUUUAAUAGGUAACUGUAUGAUUAUGUGAUACAUGACAUUUGACACUACCUCACUGUGGUAUCAUAUAAACAGUGAGAUUUACAGAAAAUUCUUACUCAGAAACCAAAGAUUGUCCCAACCAGAAAAACAAAGACUUUUACCAAAUUAGGUAAUAACAAUUUACUCUUACAUUCCUGAGUUACUUUCAGUUCCGCUGCUUCUUUUAAUUCUCAUAGAACAGGUGUUACCUAUGCUGUGAAUUCUGCUGCAGGGAGAGAUUCUGUCUGCAUAUCAGAAUUAAAAGUGUUCUGGUUCACAAUACAGAUUUCCAGGCCCAAAUUCCAGAAAAUCUGGUCAGUAAGUGGAGAAUGGGGCCCGGGAUCUGUGCCUUAAUAGCCUGCCUUUCCCUGCCUUGUUAAAUUAAUGAGUCCGAAAGAGUUGAUCCAGGUACCCAUUUCUGAGAAUCACCAUCUGGACUCAUACAAGGUUAGCGCUUUGCCAAGAGCAUUGCAGAAUUAGAAAUGCCACAGCAGGUUUGGGAUGGCAAUGGUGUUGGGUGCUGUGUCAAUCACAGAUUGUUAAAACAACGCAAGCAGUUUUCUUGUUUUUCCAUUUGUCUGCCCAGUUGCUCUGCCUUAUGAUAUUUUCCUGCUUGGCUUAUGAAGACCAUCUUGGAUUUUCAUUACCUAGAAGAAUUUAGUAUUCUCUCUAAACUUGGAUAUCUUUCUGUAUAUUCUCCCUGAGCUUUUAAUAGAAGAUUAUUAUUAAAACUGAGAAAAGCCCACUCUCCAGAGGGCUCAUGUAUCCUAAUGAGCGUGUGAUUCUAAACAAGUUCACUGCUUGUGACAAAACAGUGCUCCCCUCAAUCUAAUGACUCACCUGAAUCAUUUUUGGUUUGGAACAUUCUUGUGUAAUUAGACAACAUCCACAACUUUCCACAUGCCCAUAUAUCCCUUCAAUAAAAUUGAUCAAGGGAAGAAGAAUGACUACGUUCUCUGGAAGAUUAGUAGUACAGAACAUGUGCAAUUCACAAUGAAUUCAAAGGGCUCAGAGCCGCUCCUGCAGAAAGCCAUCUCUGAUCCCACCCUCUUUGCCCCUUUCUGCUGCCACAGUCUUCACACAAAUGUGGUUUUUCCCUUUGGAACUCUCAGAGCAUGGUUCAGUGCCUUUCUGAUGGUGGCUAAGUCAUGCCUUCCUCCAUGAUAUAGUUGGAUCUAUGUCCCCACCCAAACCCCAUGUUCAGUUGUAAUUCCCAAUGUUGGAAGUGGGUCCUAGUGGGAGGUGAUUGGAUCUUGGGAGCUGUGUUUCGUAUGAAUGGUUUAGCCCCAUCCUCCUCGGUCACAAUACUGAGUGAGUUCUCAUGAGAUCUGGUUGUUUGAAAGUGUGUGGUACCUCCCCGCCACCUCUCUUCCUUCUGCUCUGGCCAUGUGAAGUGCUCGCUCCCCCUUCAGCUUCCACCAUGAUUCUAGGCUCCCUGAGGGCUGCGCAGAGGUUAAUGCUGCCAUGCUUCCUGUACAGCCUGCAGAACCGUGAGUGAAUUAAACCUCUUUUCUUUAUAA